GGAUGAUGGUGGUGAUGAUGAUGGUGGUGGUGGUGGUGACAGUGAUUUUGAACAUCACCAUUGACCUCACCACCACCAGUAUCAUCAUCAUCACAA
RNAcentral lists this microRNA precursor (96 nucleotides) under Bigelowiella natans CCMP2755. RNAcentral's name for it is "miRNA EPrBNAG00000013611". Lineage: Eukaryota; Cercozoa; Chlorarachniophyceae. The record is from RNAcentral.